GCCAGGAGGCCCACCCAGCAUGGGGCAGGGCAGGGCAGUGUCUGCCCUUAAACCUUCUGUUACUCAUUAAGCUGCCUGGAGUCAUGCAGGAAACUGGAGGCUGAGGUGAGCAUUUGGCCUGGAUCCACUGGUCCAGACCACUCCCUGGUGGCAUCCACAACACCCAUUCCUGGACCGGGUCAGUGCUUAUUCCUCAGAGCAGCCCUGGGUUUGGGGCUGGCUCAGCCGUCAGGAGGGUGGGCCCCAGGAUGCCUUCCCUCCACAGGCACCAGGAUCAGAGGAGCUCACUCCUGCCCACGAUGGGCGUCUUACCAGACACGGUUAGAUCUGGAUGCUUCUGUCUAAUACUGUCUGGUAAUGCCGUCCAUCUACGGCCUGGUCACCGCUGGAGCAGAACCCCCAGCCCCAUGGGACCCUCACCGGACACCAGGCAAAGACUGAGGCCUGUGACCCAUCUGGCACAGCUGCCCAGGCCCCCAGGACCCUGCUGCCUCCCCUAACCCCAUGGUGGCUUUGUUGGCAUGACCAAGGGUUUUAGGUGUGGAGACCUGCAUCUGCUGCCCUCAGGAGCACAGCCACACCGAGGGUCACUGAGGACAGUCACCCGGCCCUGCACAAGUGGAGGCCAGGGGCCUAACAAGGACCCAGAAGAAGCCCUGCCCAUGACCCUGACGCAAGCAUGGGGGAAAGGACACGUGGGCAGGGAGGGAAAGUCUGUGGCUCACCGUGGGGCAGCACCAGGACCCAGUGACCCCUGGGAGGUGCCAGAGGCAGGCCCUGGGGAUGGGGAAAUGGGCCACCCCCCAGGCCUCAGCUUGGGGGUCCCACACAUUCACAUCCAGGGCUGAGGUGGUUGGGGCCAAUGCCAGGGGCCAGGGCCGAUGACAAUGACCAUGGCUGGGUAAACAGGUGCACAGUUGUACAACCCCUGUCCACAAAGCUGACAACUGGGGCAGCUUUGAACUGGCUCGUGAGUGAUGCUAGUUUGCUGUGACCUCCCCUGGGAAUGUGGUAUGCAGAUCGCUUGUGAGACCUCAGCCCUGGACCCAAACACACAAACCCUGGUAUGGCCAGUGCUCAGGCUGGCUGGUGGCACCCCGCACACCCCACCCCAUCCCGGCCUGGACGCUAAUCCUGCUCCUGUCCUCAUGGGCCUCCUUUGUCCCGGUGGUGAUGAAGUUGGUCUCUCUUGGGGGCCACUCUGCUCAUAAACAAGGAACCCUGGCACGUAGCUGGCUUCACCCUCCCAGAGCAGCUUCCACCUGACUGCUCUGGACUGUGAGCCAGGCCCCUCUGGUGGAGGCGCCUGAAGGUGUGGGCUUCUCCUAGUCCUGGCCUGGCUCAUUGUGAACAAAAAAGUCUGUAUGGCAAUAAACUCUGAUUCCUGAAAGCAAGCAGACUCUGACCACCUCCUUGUCACUAGUACAGCGACCCACAGCUUUGCACAGGGCUGGGAGAUGCCCCCCUCGGUCUUUCCUGGCUCAGUUCAGUUCUGGUCCCAGGGAAGCCCCGGAGCAGGAAGGACAGGACACAGUUCUGAUGGGGACAGCAGAGCAGAUUUCUGAGUCAGAGCUCUGAACCCAGGACCUAGGAAAGGUGGGCAUCUGCCCAAGCCAUGGCCUGGCAAGAAGCUCCUGGGGGCAGUGCUGGGGGACCCUGAAGGCUGUGCUCCCAGCAGGGGAGAGGCUGCCGUGGGUGGUGUGCGCCGCAGCUUCAACGCUCUCCGUGGCCACCACACAAGUGGCACAAGUGCUCUGGAAGGCAAGCUGCCGUCCCUGGCCAGGCCUGGCCCUGAUAUAGGUUGAGAAGGUCAGCACCAAAGUGGGGCCUGGCACUCCCGCCCUCCCUCCCUCCGGCCAGCAUGAGGACGCCCUCUGCUCUGGCCGCCAGACGGACUGUGGCUGCCUGGGCAGAGGGUCAGAUGGCUGGGUGCAGCAAGAUAGCCCAAAGGCCCUCGGAUGGGUGGGGCCGGCAACAGGAACCGACCCCACCCAGGGAACCAGUGAGGGUGGGGGUUUUCCACAGGAGGGUGGCUCUCCAGCCCAGCCAAGCCUUGCGAAAUGCCCCCUUCUGACAGCUCAGGGAAGAGCCACACGGGGUGUGGCCCAGGGCAGCCAGCUUCUGGGUGGGCAAGGAAGCCCCAGAGCAGCCAGUGCUGUGCAGGACCCUGGAAGGAGAGCAGAGGGCCCCUGUGGGAGCUCCUGCAACAAGGUGCUGACAUGUGUUUCUCUUCUUGAACAUUUUCUUCGGGUUUAACAGCAUCUGUCUGUCGAGCCAGAGUGAUUUCCCACCAGUCUUUAAUCUGAGCAGAAACAGCAAUUGACCAACCUCCGAUGUGAAACUCACUUCUGGAUUUAGAGUCGCGUCCUUCAGAGAGACCCUGGACUUGCAGCUGCCAGAGGAUGCCACCUGGGCGCUGGCAGCAUUCCAGCUCUCCCGACACUGUGCACCGGACCCCGUGUUCCGCACACAGCUGCCAGGGCUCUUUAAAAAGUCUUUGUCCAUCUGAAUGACAAGAAAUGAUAAUAACUCAUGGCUUAUUUAAUUCUUUGUGAAAAUAACAAGCAUCAGAGUUAGAAAAGUCAGCCUUAUAAUGAAGAACAGUGAACCCACACAACCCUUCAGGACAUUUCUUAGCUGUGGCAACAGAGGUGGUGCCGAGAGAGUAGGACAG
RNAcentral lists this long non-coding RNA (2674 nucleotides) under Heterocephalus glaber (naked mole-rat). RNAcentral describes it as "lncRNA (ENSHGLG00000038444.1)". The stretch from base 300 to 368 matches the Rfam family "mir-8/mir-141/mir-200 microRNA precursor family". Lineage: Eukaryota; Metazoa; Chordata; Mammalia; Rodentia; Bathyergidae. The record is from RNAcentral.